This 497-nucleotide ribosomal RNA is filed under the name uncultured bacterium. RNAcentral's name for it is "partial 16S ribosomal RNA". It matches the Rfam family "Bacterial small subunit ribosomal RNA", at positions 28 to 507 of the family's 1533-position model. The record is from RNAcentral.
GAUGAACGCUGGCGGCGUGCCUAAUACAUGCAAGUCGAGCGAACAGACGAGGAGCUUGCUCCUCUGACGUUAGCGGCGGACGGGAGAGUAACACGUGGAUAACCUACCUAUAAGACUGGGAUAACUUCGGGAAACCGGAGCUAAUACCGGAUAAUAUAUUGAACCGCAUGGUUCAAUAGUGAAAGACGGUUUUGCUGUCACUUAUAGAUGGAUCCGCGCCGCAUUAGCUAGUUGGUAAGGUAACGGCUUACCAAGGCAACGAUGCGUAGCCGACCUGAGAGGGUGAUCGGCCACACUGGAACUGAGACACGGUCCAGACUCCUACGGGAGGCAGCAGUAGGGAAUCUUCCGCAAUGGGCGAAAGCCUGACGGAGCAACGCUGCGUGAGUGAUGAAGGUCUUCGGAUCGUAAAACUCUGUUAUUAGGGAAGAACAAAUGUGUAAGUAACUAUGCACGUCUUGACGGUACCUAAUCAGAAAGCCACGGCUAACUACGUG